GACUCUUGGCAAUGGAUCACUGGGCUCCUCCAUUGGUGAAGAUUGCAGCUAGCUGCGAAAAUUAAUGUAAUUUGUAGUACAUUGAUCCUCGACACUUGGAAUGUGCUUGUGGCCCAGGGUUCCUCCAGGGUCUAUGCCUGUCUGAGCAUAG
Molecule: ribosomal RNA, 151 nt
Organism: Cricetulus griseus (Chinese hamster)
Lineage: Eukaryota; Metazoa; Chordata; Mammalia; Rodentia; Cricetidae
Rfam family: 5.8S ribosomal RNA
About the family: 5.8S ribosomal RNA (5.8S rRNA) is a component of the large subunit of the eukaryotic ribosome. It is transcribed by RNA polymerase I as part of the 45S precursor that also contains 18S and 28S rRNA.
Source: Ensembl